This 614-nucleotide ribosomal RNA is filed under the name Mannagettaea hummelii. RNAcentral describes it as "eukaryotic LSU rRNA". The stretch from base 222 to 377 matches the Rfam family "5.8S ribosomal RNA". The record is from RNAcentral. Lineage: Eukaryota; Viridiplantae; Streptophyta; Magnoliopsida; Lamiales; Orobanchaceae.
GGAGGAUCAUUGUCGAACCUGCAAAGCAGACCGCGAACAUGUUUAACCACAUUGGGAUUGCGGCGUGGGCCGGUCUCACGCCGCAUUCCCCUCCCACAUGCGCGCACUCUGUGGGCUAACGAACCCCGGCGCGGCAUGCGCCAAGGAAAACUCAUAGAAGCGUCCGCCUCCCUUCGCCACGUUCGCGUUGAGCGUGGGAGGAUGCCUCUCAAUGUCAAAACGACUCUCGGCAACGGAUAUCUCGGCUCUCGCAUCGAUGAAGAACGUAGCGAAAUGCGAUACUUGGUGUGAAUUGCAGAAUCCCGUGAAUCAUCGAGUCUUUGAACGCAAGUUGCGCCCGAAGCCUUUCGGCUUAGGGCACGUCUGCCUGGGCGUCACGCAUCGCGUCGCUCCCCCUCCCGUCCCCGGAUAAUGGCCUCCCAUGCGCGACGACGUGUGGCUGGCAAAAAUUUGAUCCCGUGGCGACUCACGUCACGACCAUUGGUGGUUGAACACUCAACUAUAGUGCUGUCGUGCCGAAUGUCGCACUUCGGGCUCUGUUGUAGACCCAAUGGCGCGAGGCUCGCGCUUCCGACUGCGACCCCAGGUCAGGCGGGACUACCCGCUGAGUUUAA